RNAcentral lists this ribosomal RNA (545 nucleotides) under uncultured Gigasporaceae. RNAcentral describes it as "SSU rRNA". It matches the Rfam family "Eukaryotic small subunit ribosomal RNA", at positions 548 to 1098 of the family's 1831-position model. The record is from RNAcentral. Lineage: Eukaryota; Fungi; Glomeromycota; Glomeromycetes; Diversisporales; Gigasporaceae.
UUGGAGGGCAAGUCUGGUGCCAGCAGCCGCGGUAAUUCCAGCUCCAAUAGCGUAUAUUAAAGUUGUUGCAGUUAAAAAGCUCGUAGUUGAAUUUCGGGGUUCUACCGUUGGUCGGGCAAUAGUCUGUACUGGCGUGUAGAAUUUCUACCUUCUGGGGAACUAUCAUGUUAUUUAUUUAGCGUGGUAGGAAACCAGGACCUUUACCUUGAAAAAAUUAGAGUGUUCAAAGCAGGCUUACGUCUGAAUACAUUAGCAUGGAAUAAUAAAAUAGGACGGUGGUCCUGUUUUGUUGGUUUCUGAAUCACCGUAAUGAUUAAUAGGGAUAGUUGGGGGCAUUAGUAUUCAAUUGUCAGAGGUGAAAUUCUUGGAUUUAUUGAAGACUAACUUCUGCGAAAGCAUUUGCCAAGGAUGUUUUCAUUAAUCAAGAACGAAAGUUAGGGGAUCGAAGACGAUCAGAUACCGUCGUAGUCUUAACCAUAAACUAUGCCGACUAGGGAUCGGAUGAUGUUAAUUUUUCAAGACUCAUUCGGCGCCUUACGGGAAAC